AUGCAAUUUUAUGAAAUCACCAUGGGACGCGGUACCAAGAAAGAAAAGGUAGACUUAGAUCUCAGUGUCCAUGCCGAACGCAUCUUCUAUGAUUUUCAACACCACUCAUUUGCACUGGAGGUUCUGGGCCAACGUGGAUGCUAUGUUCAGAGGAUCCUUCAUGGCCCAGGUGAUGGUCCCAUGAAGGUGAAGUCCCAGGAUGCCAUUCAGAUUGGGCACACACAGUUCUACUUUCUCCUACCAGCUCGCUCCAUCUUUGCAUCCUUUGCUGUUGAGGGCACUCCACAUUCGUUUACGUUUCCGGAUCAUUCCUACCAUAUUGGUUUUGCGAGACGAUCUCCCAGAGAAUGGUUUCAAACUCGGGCGAGCCGUUGGCGAUGGAACAAUAUGGAGGUUCAGCCCUCUAAAUUCUUCGACAAGCGAGGGCUGAACUUUGUGGACCUGGAGGUGGUUGCAGUAAGACUUGCGGCUCAGGGCAUCAGCCAUUACAUUAGCCUUGCCGGGGGUAUAUGA
RNAcentral lists this ribosomal RNA (513 nucleotides) under Triticum aestivum (bread wheat). RNAcentral's name for it is "partial small subunit ribosomal RNA". Lineage: Eukaryota; Viridiplantae; Streptophyta; Magnoliopsida; Poales; Poaceae. The record is from RNAcentral.